UACGGAGAAGGCGAGCGUUGUUCGGAAUCACUGGGCUUAAAGCGCGUGUAGGCGGCCCUUCAAGUCGGGUGUGAAAUCCCUCGGCUUAACCGAGGAACUGCACCCGAUACUGUCGGGCUUGAGUCAACCAGAGGCGGAUGGAACUCCAGGUGGAGCGGUGACAUGCGUAGAUAUCUGGAGGAACGCCAGUGGCGAAAGCGGUCCGCUGGGGUUGUACUGACGCUGAGACGCGAAAGCGUGGGGAGCGAACGGGAUUAGAUACCCCCGUA
RNAcentral lists this ribosomal RNA (269 nucleotides) under uncultured prokaryote. RNAcentral's name for it is "partial 16S ribosomal RNA". It matches the Rfam family "Bacterial small subunit ribosomal RNA", at positions 524 to 792 of the family's 1533-position model. The record is from RNAcentral.